RNAcentral lists this ribosomal RNA (460 nucleotides) under uncultured bacterium. RNAcentral describes it as "partial 16S ribosomal RNA". It matches the Rfam family "Bacterial small subunit ribosomal RNA", at positions 338 to 795 of the family's 1533-position model. The record is from RNAcentral.
CCUACGGGAGGCAGCAGUGAGGAAUAUUGGUCAAUGGUCGUAAGGCUGAACCAGCCAAGUAGCGUGAGGGAAGACUGUCCUAUGGGUUGUAAACCUCUUUUAUGAGGGGACAAAGGCGUCCACGUGUGGCUGUUUGCAGGUACCGCAUGAAUAAGGAUCGGCUAAUUCCGUGCCAGCAGCCGCGGUAAUACGGAGGGUCCGGGCGUUAUCCGGAUUUAUUGGGUUUAAAGGGUGCGUAGGCCGGUCUUUAAGCGUGCCGUGAAAUUUUGGGGCGCAACCAUGAGAGUGCGGCGCGAACUGGAGACCUUGAGUGGGCGAAAGGCAGGCGGAAUUCGUGGUGUAGCGGUGAAAUGCUUAGAUAUCGCGAAGAACCCCGAUUGCGAAGGCAGCCUGCCGCAGCGUUACUGACGCUGAGGCUCGAAAGCGCGGGUAUCGAACAGGAUUAGAUACCCGGGUAGUC